Small nuclear RNA from Oncorhynchus kisutch (coho salmon), 56 nucleotides. Its record names the gene U7. It matches the Rfam family "U7 small nuclear RNA". From Rfam's summary of the family: Animal histone pre-mRNAs are spliced by a different mechanism than nuclear pre-mRNAs and self-splicing introns. This processing involves the U7 snRNP, which contains only one RNA species: U7. NCBI's taxonomy places the organism in Eukaryota, Metazoa, Chordata, Actinopteri, Salmoniformes, Salmonidae. The record is from Ensembl.
GGAUGAUCUUCUGUUUUAGUAUUUGUCCAGUAGGUUUCCCCAAGGAGAAAGCCCCC